GGAUCUACAUGUGAAGCGGAGUACAUAGCUGCUUCGGAAGCAGCAAAUGAAGGAGUCUGGAUGAAGGAGUUCAUAUCCGAUCUAGAUGUCAUACCUAGUGCAUUGGGUCCAAUGAAAAUCUUUUGUGACAAUACUGGUGCAAUUGCCUUGGCAAAGGAAUCCAGAUUUCACAAGAGAACCAAGCACAUCAAGAGAUGCUUCAAUUCCAUCCGGGAUCUUGUCCAGGUGGGAGACAUAGAGAUUUGCAAGAUACAUACGGAUCUGAAUGUUGCAGACCCGUUGACUAAGCCUCUUCCACGAGCAAAACAUGAUCAGCACCAAGGCUCCAUGGGUGUUAGAACCAUU
Molecule: ribosomal RNA, 345 nt
Filed under: Triticum aestivum (bread wheat)
Lineage: Eukaryota; Viridiplantae; Streptophyta; Magnoliopsida; Poales; Poaceae
Description: partial small subunit ribosomal RNA
Source: RNAcentral